RNAcentral lists this non-coding RNA (115 nucleotides) under Vitis vinifera (wine grape). Its description in RNAcentral is "Bacterial small subunit ribosomal RNA". It matches the Rfam family "Bacterial small subunit ribosomal RNA", at positions 755 to 869 of the family's 1533-position model. Lineage: Eukaryota; Viridiplantae; Streptophyta; Magnoliopsida; Vitales; Vitaceae. The record is from Rfam by way of RNAcentral.
GAAAGCUAGGAGAGCGAAUGGGAUUAGAUACCCUAAUAGUCCUAUCUAUAAACGAUGCAUACUAGGCGCCAUAGAUAUCGACCCAACAAUAUUGUAACUAAUGUGUUAAGUAUUU